GGGGAUGUAGCUCAGUGGUAGAUCACAUGCUUAGCAUAUAUGAGGUCCUGGAUUCAAUCCCCAGCAUCUCCA
RNAcentral lists this transfer RNA (72 nucleotides) under Xenopus laevis (African clawed frog). It matches the Rfam family "tRNA". From Rfam's summary of the family: Transfer RNA (tRNA) molecules are approximately 80 nucleotides in length. The record is from Rfam by way of RNAcentral. Lineage: Eukaryota; Metazoa; Chordata; Amphibia; Anura; Pipidae.